This is a non-coding RNA of Cinara cedri, 296 nucleotides long. NCBI's taxonomy places the organism in Eukaryota, Metazoa, Arthropoda, Insecta, Hemiptera, Aphididae. The record is from the annotation of a GenBank genome assembly.
AGCUUGUGUUGCUGUGACUAUAUGGGAUAAAAGGAAAGAUCUUUCAAUUCUGCUCGCGUAUGAAAAGUUAAUUUUGUCUAAAAGGUUGUUGAUCAGAGCUUUUUGAUCUCCUUUGACUUUCUGUAAUUACGCGCCGAGAACUGCGACCUAUGUUUGAAUUUGAACUAGGCGUUGUAGAUGAUUAAUGAAUGUGAUACUAUAACAUAAAACUAAAGGCUGGCGUAAUAAAUUUUCCUAGUUUGAGACAACAAAUAAUUUCAAAAUUUAAAUGGUAAAUGUCUGAUAAUAAACGAAAA